CAUAGACACAAACAUUUUAUUGUUAUCUUUUGUAGAUAAUGUUAUAUUUACAUAUAGAAACAAUGUCAUUCUUUGCUAGUAAUGUUUACAUCGUCUUCAUGUUCCUCAAUCUUAUCCUUCUCCUUCUUUCCACAUGUGAGGUGGAAGCAGAAGUUUGUAGAAAGAAAAGUAUAACAUGGUUAGGGCUUUGUAUUAAUAACUUGUCUUGUAGUACAACGUGUGUUUCGGAGCAUGCACUAUAUGGUGCUUGUCAAGGUGAUUAUGUUCAUUGCAAUUGCUACUUCACUUGUUGAACACUGAGUUUUUGAUGAAACAAUUCAACCUUUAAUAUUUCUUGUAAAAUAAAGUAAGUGUUUAAGAUCAUAUUGCAUCUAUAGGUUGCUAUUUAUGUUGGCCUUUCAAUUGAACAUGAUAAAAAUGCAAUACUUAAUGUAUAAAUUCAAUUCUCGUUGUAAACUAUUUGAACAUUACUAAGUAGCACUUCAAUUAAGUUUGUAUUUGCUA
Medicago truncatula (barrel medic) is the source of this 504-nucleotide long non-coding RNA. RefSeq lists it as uncharacterized. The record is from RefSeq and is a predicted model, not a curated record. The transcript is spliced from 2 exons. NCBI's taxonomy places the organism in Eukaryota, Viridiplantae, Streptophyta, Magnoliopsida, Fabales, Fabaceae.